Sphaeramia orbicularis (orbiculate cardinalfish) is the source of this 153-nucleotide long non-coding RNA. RefSeq lists it as uncharacterized. The transcript is spliced from 3 exons. The record is from RefSeq and is a predicted model, not a curated record. NCBI's taxonomy places the organism in Eukaryota, Metazoa, Chordata, Actinopteri, Kurtiformes, Apogonidae.
GUGUGUGUUCUUGAAGUGUCUUCUCCUUAGAUUGUCUCCAUGGACCCACUGGAUUAGACUAAACAACAACACCUGGAAGAUCCAGACCAGUUUUCAGUUGUCAUGUCGUCCUCCUUCACAGUAAUGCGUUCGUUUCUUCUGAAUAACACCAAA